GGGGCACUCACCGCUCCCGCCAUUAGCGACCUCCGCCGCUAGGUGAGUUCUCCCCUCCGGUAUCUCCCUCUCGUCCCUCUCCGCUCUCCCUCUCCGCUCUCUCCCUCUCCUCCCUCUCCUCUCCUGCCUCGGACCGAAUCUGUCCCCCUCCCGCCUCUCCUCUUCUCUGUCCGGUUCUCGUCAAUUUCGUGCUCCUCUUUUCCGUUUCUUUUUUUGUUAUAUCUGAGCACUUGCCCCACGUUAGUGAUGAUAUUUGAGCGCUUGCCCAUGCCAAGGAUAUUAUUUCUAUUUAUGUGAUGUGUUGUCCAUAUCAAUGAUGAUUGUUAUGUUAAUUCUAAGCACAUGUCCAUGCCAAUUAUGUUUGUUUCUAUUAAGUUCAGCACUUACCCAUGCCUACAGUGCUGCUGUUGGUAGUCUGAUAACUUGCCCAUGCCACAGAUCUUUAUUUAUGUUCAUCUGAGCACUUGGCCAUGCUAUUUUUUUGUUUAUUUUGCUGUCAGCACUUGUCCAUGCCUAUGGUGCUGCUUUUUUUAAUUACUUGGCUAUGCAUGUGCAAACCCCUAAGCCCAUGCUAUUUGUUGAUUUCAUUUACAUAGAUGUCCAUGGAAGACAAUAGACACCUGCUCAUUAUUCAGGUAGCUGCUCUAGUCGCUGCUACAUAUGCAUUCCUGUUCAGUAAGCAUGCCUACUUAAUUGUUUAAACUGAGGUAUUGGGCAAUUGCAAUGAUGAUUACUUGUUUGUUUAAAUUGAAGCAUUGGGCAUUUGCUGUGAUGAUUAAUAAUUGCCCCUGAAGCAUCUCACUUCCUAUCAGCUACUUGUUUUAUAUUCUGUUUUGUUUUCCAAUAUCAUGACUCUGACUUCUAAGUUGGAUUGCACCAUUGGCAUCUCACUUCCUAUCAGCUACUGUCAUUUGCUCACUAUAGCUGACCAUAGCUUAUAGUUAGUAAUCGGCUAUAUAUGCCACUCUAUAUCAGAUACUGUCUGAACUAUUCUAUCUCUAUGGGUAACUCCAUUGUGAGUUAUUGUGUGCAUCAGACACUCUAGU
Molecule: long non-coding RNA, 1046 nt
Filed under: Panicum hallii
Lineage: Eukaryota; Viridiplantae; Streptophyta; Magnoliopsida; Poales; Poaceae
Description: long non-coding RNA (PHAL_LNC000517)
Source: RNAcentral